This is a long non-coding RNA of Boleophthalmus pectinirostris (great blue-spotted mudskipper), 557 nucleotides long. RefSeq lists it as uncharacterized. The transcript has 3 exons. Lineage: Eukaryota; Metazoa; Chordata; Actinopteri; Gobiiformes; Gobiidae. The record is from RefSeq and is a predicted model, not a curated record.
CGUAAUUACGAGAUAGUUUAUUUUCCCUACUAGCAUCAGGAUCCGCAGCGGAUUCGCUUUCGCUCCGCCAAAUCCGCCCCACAGUCCGUCCGCUUUGCGGAUCCGCUGCGUAUUUGUUCCGUAUUCGCUUUCUGACUGUUGCUAAUCCUAACCCUUGGAUGAGCUGCUGUUACAGAGAGAAUCUGCGGUUAAAUCAUCUUAGAUCCGCACUGUGAACGUACUUUUAACACAACACUUUGUUUCUGACACAUUGAUUUGUUCGAUCAAUGCGCGGAUUCGCGGCUAAACCAGUUUUCCACCUGAGUGGAAAGAAGCAGCAUCCACCUGUUGUCCGCGGAUUUAACUUUUGGACGAGUGCAGUAGGAAAGUUAGCGACAGGAGCAGCUGACGUGAUGAAGACGAUGUGAGGUCAGGAGUCAGGAUAACUCCAUCUCUUGAGAAUUGUAAUUCUGCUCCGUGAUCAUUGGUCGUGUCUAACGGGUUCGGUUCUGGCUGGACGCCGCUCUCGGCGCUCUGCCUUCGGCUGUGGAGCGACGGUGACACCGGUGUCUGAUCUG